AUCUUUGCCACUGAAGGUGAAGGAAGAGGGCGCUGCACAGACCCACCAGGAAAGCACGCAGGUGGAGGCAGGAGGCUGGAGGGAGUUGUGCCUGGCGGUCCUCACCCAUUCCUCUGUGCAUAAUAGCAGAGAGGUCUGAACCCAACACUGUGUUCAAGUCGGUUUCCUCCAGUUUUGAUCUCGGGGAGCUUUGAGCCUCCGUUCCAAAGCCCACGUGAGGACUCCUCCCACCCCCACGCUAGCCAUGGGCUUCCACACUCCUUUCCUCAGAUGAGGCAACACCGCACCCCGAGGAUGGGUGACAUGACUUGAAGCUAACAAAUUCUAAGGUGCAGAUGACUUCAAUUGUCACUCGGUUUGAAACACAGGUGACUGAGUUGUGUUGCUGUGAAGAGGAGAGCCAGUGUCAGCAUGAAGGUGUUCUGGGAGCCCCUGCAGUGCUUCUGGACAAAGUCGUUUGGGUAGGAGAGCAGCUGGACUCAGGAGUCGAGCACGGAGGCACUGGGAUGAAGCAAACCCCCAGUCUGAAUGCUGGUCUUCCAGCGGAUGUCUGUGACUACCAAGAACAAGAACAAGAACAAGAACAACAACAAGAACAACAAGAACAAGAAC
RNAcentral lists this long non-coding RNA (612 nucleotides) under Rattus norvegicus (Norway rat). Its description in RNAcentral is "long non-coding RNA NONRATT005660". Lineage: Eukaryota; Metazoa; Chordata; Mammalia; Rodentia; Muridae. The record is from RNAcentral.